RNAcentral lists this ribosomal RNA (400 nucleotides) under uncultured bacterium. Its description in RNAcentral is "bacterial SSU rRNA". It matches the Rfam family "Bacterial small subunit ribosomal RNA", at positions 356 to 773 of the family's 1533-position model. The record is from RNAcentral.
GGGGGAUAUUGCACAAUGGAGGAAACUCUGAUGCAGCAACGCCGCGUGAAGGAUGAAGGUCUUCGGAUUGUAAACUUUUGUACUUGGGGACGAUAAUGACGGUACCCAAGCAGCAAGCUCCGGCUAACUACGUGCCAGCAGCCGCGGUAAUACGUAGGGAGCAAGCGUUGUCCGGAUUUACUGGGUGUAAAGGGUGCGUAGGCGGCUAUGCAAGUCAGUUGUGAAAACUAUGGGCUCAACCCAUAGCCUGCAAUUGAAACUGCGUAGCUUGAGUGAAGUAGAGGUAGGUGGAAUUCCCGGUGUAGCGGUGAAAUGCGUAGAGAUCGGGAGGAACACCAGUGGCGAAGGCGACCUACUGGGCUUUAACUGACGCUGAGGCACGAAAGCAUGGGUAGCAAAC